UCUAAGGCAGCCCGGACUGUGCUCAUUAACUCGUCCCUAUCCAGCCUGCUCUUAUUCAUUAUGAGCUUCUACAGCCUGCCUGAGACUCUGCACCAUGAGAUUGCUAGAGUUCAGGGGCGCUUCUUCUGGGCUGACGAGGGCGACAAACAGAAGUACCACAUGGUUCGGUGGACUGAGAUCUGUAAGCCUCGCGAUCAGGGCGGUCUCGGGAUCAUGUCCUCCAAACGCAUGAACAUUUCACUCCUGACUAGGUGGCUUUGGCGGAUUACGAACGGUGAGUGUGGCUUAUGGCUCCGCAUCAUCCAGCAGAAAUACCUCCGUGGCCAGCCGCUCGCCUUUUGUCAGCGGUCCGGUGGCUCCCAGUUCUGGCAAUCCAUCAUACAGCUCCUCCCAGUCCUCCGCAUUGGGACCUCGAUUGCGGUUGGAUCUGGCACCGCCACGCUGUUUUGGUUCGAUCGCUGGGCUAGGGACGCCCCCUUCGCGGCUCGUUUU
Molecule: ribosomal RNA, 492 nt
Filed under: Triticum aestivum (bread wheat)
Lineage: Eukaryota; Viridiplantae; Streptophyta; Magnoliopsida; Poales; Poaceae
Description: partial small subunit ribosomal RNA
Source: RNAcentral